AUUGAACGCUGGCGGCAGGCCUAACACAUGCAAGUCGAGCGGAUGAAGGGAGCUUGCUCCUGGCUUCAGCGGCGGACGGGUGUGUAAUGCCUAUGAAUCUGCCUGGUCUUGGGGGAUAACGUCCGGAAACGGGCGCUAAUCUCGCAUACGUCCUGAGGGAGAAAGUGGGGGUUCUUCAGACCUCACGCUUUCAGAUGAGCCUAGGUCGGAUUAGCUAGUUGGUGGGGUAAAGGCCUACCAAGGCGACGAUCCGUAACUGGUCUGAGAGGAUGAUCAGUCACACUGGAACUGAGACACGGUCCAGACUCCUACGGGAGGCAGCAGUGGGGAAUAUUGGACAAUGGGCGAAAGCCUGAACCAGCCAUGCAGCGUGUGUGAAGAGGGUCUGCGGAUUGUAAAACACUUUAAGUUGGGAAGAAGGGCAGUAAGAGAAAACAUGGCUGUUUUGACGGUACCAACAGAAUAAGCACCGGCUAACUACGUG
Molecule: ribosomal RNA, 484 nt
Filed under: uncultured bacterium
Lineage: Bacteria
Description: partial 16S ribosomal RNA
Rfam family: Bacterial small subunit ribosomal RNA
Source: RNAcentral